Macaca fascicularis (crab-eating macaque) is the source of this 1655-nucleotide long non-coding RNA. Lineage: Eukaryota; Metazoa; Chordata; Mammalia; Primates; Cercopithecidae. The record is from Ensembl.
UUUUUUUUUUUUUUGGUGUGGUGGGGAAUGGGUGGAGCUUGAGGAGGGCUGGAGCUGAGUAGGAUGCAAGAAACAUUUGUUCUGCUUGCUCCAGAAAGAAGUGAGUGUGUGUGAAUUUAAUUUUUUGGAUCACUGCCCAGAGUGGUCACACAUCACCACAGGUGAAGGAUCCCCUUGCCACCAGAAUUCUCUUUGCACUGAGCACCUCACCCCUACCCUCUGUCUGCAGCUGUUGAAACUUCUGGUCUUCCUGUUUGUGGCAAAUCUAUACGGGUCUGCAGCAACCUCAAUUCUUGACUCCUCAGAAGAAAGAAUUCAAUAGAGGGGCAUAAGGCAAAGGGAAAGACUGAGGAAAGUUUUAGAGCAGGAGUGAAAAUUUCUGAAGAAGUUUUAGUGCAGGAACAAAAGGAUGCAACGUAUACUUGUAAGAGGACCAAGCAGGCGAUGUGAGAGAUUCAAGUGCAUGGUUUGACCUUUGACUUGCGGUUUUAUAUGUUGGCAUGCUUCUGGGGGGUUGCAUCUCUUCUCUCUUGAUUCUUCCCUUAGGGUGGGCUGUCCACACGUGCUCUGGCCUGCCAGUACUUGGGAGGGGCCGCAUGCACAGUAUGUUUACUGAAGUUGUAAGCAUGCUCACAUGAGGCGUUCUUCCCUUACCAGUUGAGUGUUCCUAAAGGAAGGCCAUAUACCAGUUAAACUCUGCCAUUUUGCCUCUUAGUGCACAUGCUUGAACCCACUAGCCCAACUCCUGAGAUCUUAUCAGGAAGCUGCUGAUAACCAGUUUCAGGUUUUUCUAUCUAUUGGGAGACAUUCCCUGGUGCCGACUGCAACCAAUUAUUUUAGAGAGACAGUUUAACAAUCACCUGACCAUCACACUUAAUGGUCGCCUGACAUUCCUAGUUUUGGGGGAGCCCUCUCCUGCCCUGCUCAUGUCUGACUACCUACUAUAACAUUUCCAGGGCCUGGGCAUGCCUUUUUGCAGGAUUCAGUGGCACCAGGUUGGCUCACACUUGAAGAAUACACAUUUGGUCCCUGUGCAUUGAAGGUGGCAUUCAACUGGACACUGGCAGUGGAGGGAGGCAGCAUAUCCCUGGCCCAGCUCAGCCACAGGGGUCAGCUCAGAGGACUCUAGAGGAGGUUGGAGCUGAGGGCUCCAGUCUGGAAGAGGGACAUUACUCAUCCCACAAAGGCUUCUAAAGAGGUCCUCAGUAGAGAGGACCUCUUUGAAACUGCCUUUGCAAAAACUUUAACAGUGAUAAAAUUAUGAGAGUGAAAGAGAUCUUACCUAACCAACUCCAUCUUGCCUUUAAUCUCCAAACUGCCCUUGGUCAUUCCUGGGUGUGGGCCAAGGUAACUUUGGUAGAAAUUUAUAGAUCAAAUGGUAAUAGCUCUUCCCAAAACUAAACUGCCUUUAUAAAACUAACGCAAGGCCACAAGUUUAAGAUUAUGAAAGGGGCUUGAAUUUUGCUAAGAUAUAGGUGUAGUUAAAUGAUUAAUAGCCAUUGUUCUAGAGGUCACAAGAUUUGCAACAUUACCAAUUACUCCUGUAAAUAACAUCACUAUUGUGGAACCUAAGAUUGGCUUUUUAAGAUGUCUUUUCAGACUUUUACAUUUCUGACAACUGACUGGAUGACUCCAUCUGGACCAGUGACUCCUCU